AAGACCUUUGUGGCGCAGUUAACGCAAUAAGUCGACCGCCUGGGGAGUACGGCCGCAAGGUUAAAACUCAAAUGAAUGGACGGGGGCCCGCACAAGCGGUGGAGCAUGUGGUUUAAUUCGAUGCAACGCGAAGAACCUUACCUACCCUUGACAUCGUGCGAACUUUCCAGAGAUGGAUUGGUGCCUUCGGGAGCGCACAGACAGGUGCUGCAUGGCUGUCGUCAGCUCGUGUUGUGAAAUGUUGGGUUAAGUCCCGUAACGAGCGCAACCCUUGUCCCUAUUUGCCAGCGAUUCGGUCGGGAACUCUAGGGAGACUGCCGGUGACAAACCGGAGGAAGGUGGGGACGACGUCAAGUCAUCAUGGCCCUUACGGGUAGGGCUACACACGUGCUACAAUGGCCGGUACAAUGGGUUGCAAAGCGGCGACGUGGAGCUAAUCUCAUAAAGCCGGUCUCAGUCCGGAUCGGAGUCUGCAACUCGACUCCGUGAAGUCGGAAUCGCUAGUAAUCGUGCAUCAGAAUGGCACGGUGAAUACGUUCCCGGGCCUUGUACACACCGCCCGUCACACCAUGGGAGUGGACUGCACCAGAAGUGGUUAGCCUAACUUCGGAGGGCGAUCACCACGGUGGUCUG
RNAcentral lists this ribosomal RNA (633 nucleotides) under Halomonas elongata. RNAcentral describes it as "bacterial SSU rRNA". It matches the Rfam family "Bacterial small subunit ribosomal RNA", at positions 834 to 1471 of the family's 1533-position model. The record is from RNAcentral. Lineage: Bacteria; Pseudomonadati; Pseudomonadota; Gammaproteobacteria; Oceanospirillales; Halomonadaceae.